GCGACCGGGACAAAGGAACCGGCUGCGCGGGAGCGCGCCUGAGGGAGGCCGCGGGGGGCAGGGCCGGGACUGCGUUGAGACAGUCGCCGUGCCUCAGUUUCCUCCUCUGCGAAGGGCGGGAGGAGUCGGACGCGCCCUAGAGCCCCGCGCGUUCCUGGUGUAGCCUGCUGGGCCCGUGUUCUUUAAGUUCCUCUUCCUCGGAGCCGCGCGUUCGACCCUCGCUCCCGUUUGUCCACUGAUGUCCCGUUUCGAGCCCGGGAGAUCCUGCAUCUCGGAAGCCCCCUGAGUCCCGAGGCAAAUCGGGACCGUGAGCCCCCCUACCCUGCAGGGCUCCAUGGGGCCAAAAACCACGUGGUCCUUCUGGAAGGGAACUGGCUAAGCCAGGACUGCUUUUCUGGAGUGAUAAUGUGCUUGCCUGUGUCUAAGAGAAAGGUGAAGAAUUGGGAAACCCAUGGGUGUCACGAAGGGUGGUGAGACUGGGGAACGUUUUAGAAAACCUGUACCCUGGCUGAUAAAUGGGACUUGGAUUUUAAAUACCAUUGGAUAAUAAAUGUAUGUGAUGGCUUUGGAGCAAAUUGAUUGACAAUGGCUAGAAUCUCACUCUGUAGUCACCCAGGCUGGAAUGCAGUGGUGCGAUCUUGGCUCACUGCAACCUCCACCUCCCAGAUGCAAGCGAUUCUUGUGCCUCAGCCUCCCGAGUAGCUGGGAUUAAAGGCAUGCGCCACCACGCCCAGGAGACAGCUUCCCAAGGCUGGAAAGAGGGGAGUGCGGAACAUGCCUCCACCAUACCACUGCCCACCUCCUGUGACCUCUGCAGCAAAACCUGAAGCCCCAAAGAGGCAGCUUCUCAAAGUAAAAGUGGAAUGAAGAGUCGGGGUUUCACCAUGUUGCCCGGCCUGGUCUCGAACUCCUGGCCUCAAGUCUCUCUGGCUCAGCCUUCCAAAGUGCCAGGAUAACAGGCGUGAACCACGACACCCAGCUUGCUUUGUGUACUUCUAGGGGCUCAGGUGAACCACAUGAGUUCCUGGAUGUGCUUCCAUGUUUCACAGUGAAUUCAUGUUUUUGGUCCAAUCAUGACCAUUUAGACUGUUUAAGAAGGCUGUGUACCAGCUUUAAUAUUGUAUUUUAUGAUAUUAGUGAUCCCUGAAUUUUAUUUGAAAAAAUAUUAUUUUACUGAGUGAUUUAGUAGGCUUGAUCAUUUUCCUUGCAGCUUUCAUAUUUUGUGACACACUGAUUUAAGAAUCAAGUCUAUAUCUGAAUGUGAAAAAUCUGCAAUGAGGAUAGCAAACAAUUAUAUUGUUUUAAUAGAAAAAUUAUUUGAUAAUUUCCAUGUAUUGAUGAUUUCAGUAGAAUCUAUUCUGCAUUUAACCAACAAUCAGUAGUUCCCAAGCUAUUCCGUAGUUUUAGCUUUAACACAUAGUACAUGCUUAAUAAACAUUAGCUGAAUGAAUGAAUGAAUGAAUGACUAAAGACUUUCAGGACCUGGAAGGGAGGAUGUAAAGAACCCAGGGCCAAGUGUCAUGCAAGCACUGGAGCAUCUAGAUCCCCUCCGGACACCAGCUUCCUUUCCCACAACCCAAAUGUUCUUUUCCUUUUAUGAAUUUUCUUUAAUCGUGACAAAAUAUAUAUAAUAUAAAAUGUAUCAUUUUAACUGUUUGUAAAUGUACAGUUUGGUGUUAUUCAGUACAUUCACAUUGUUGCACAACCAUCACCACCAACUAUCUCCAGAGCUUUUUCUUCCUCCCCAACUGACAUCCUGUACUCAUUAAUCAAUAACUCUCCAUUCACCCUCCCCCGAGGGAGACUAUUCUUGUUAUUCUCUGUCUUUUUUUUUUUUUUUUUAAUAGCUGCCAUUCUAAGGGUAUGGCCUAAUUAGUUUUUAACUGGGUGAGAAGAUGAAGAAAAAAGAGCAAAUGAGCAUGAGAAUCCAGUAACAACCAAGCAGAACCGUUCUACUUUUGUCUCUCUGAAUGUGACACUCUAGGUACCUUGUAUAAAUGGAACGAUACAACAUUUCCCCUUCUGUGUCUGGCUGAUUUCACUUGGCAUAAUGUCUUCAAGGUUUCAUCAACAUUGUAGCAUGUGUAAGACUUUUAAUUCCUAUUUUUUUUUUUUUUUUUUGAGGCAGAGUCUCACUCCGUCACCCAGGCUGGAGUGCAGUGGCGCCAUCUCGGCUCACCGCAACCUCCACCUCCUAAGUUCAAGGGAUUCUCCUGCCUCAGCCUCCCGAGUAGCUGGGAUUGCAGGUUCCCACCACCAUGCCUGGCUAAUUUUUGUAUUUUUAGUGGAGAUGGGGUUUCACCAUGUUUGCCAGUCUGGUCUCAAACUCCUGGCCUCAAGUAACCCACCCACCUUGGCCUCCCAAAGUGCUGGGAUUAUAGGCGUGAGCCACCAUGCCUGGUCCUUCAUUCCUUUCUAAAGCUGAAUGACACCCCACUAUGUGCCAUUGCAUGUAUGUACCACAUUUUGCUUAUCCAUUAAUCCAUCAGUGGACAUUUGGGUUGUCUCCACCUUUUGGCUAUUGUGAAUGAUGCUGCUAUGAACAUGGAUGUAGAAAUAUCUGCUUGAACCCCUGCUUUCAAUUCUUUUGGGAAUAUACCCAGAAGUGCCAUUGCUGGAUCUAUGAUAAUUCUGUUUAACUUUCUGAAGAACUGCCAUACUGUUUUUUUGUUUGUUUUGUUUUUGUUUCUUGAGACAGAGUCUGGCUCUGUCGCCCAGGCUGGAGUGCAGUGGCGCCAUCUCAGCUCACUGCAACCUCUGUCUCCCACGUACAAAUGAUUUUCCUGCCUCAGCCUCCCCAGUAGCUGGGACUACAGGCGCGCUUCACCUCACCCAGAUAAUUUUUGUAGUUUUAGUAGAGACGGGGUUUCACCAUGUUGCCCAAGUUGGUCUUGAUCUCCUGGGGUCAAGCCAUCCACCUGCUUUGGCCUCUCAAAAUGCUGAUAUUACAGGUGUGAGCCACCAUGCCCAGCCUGCCAUAUGUUUUUGUUGUUGUUGUUGUUGUUGUUUACUGUGGCUGCUGUUGUUUACAUUUUCACCAGUAAUGCGCAGGGGUACUGAUUUCUCUACAUCCUCAUCAACACUUGCUAUUCUCUGUUUUGUUUGUUUUUUUUCUUAAGAGUUGCCAUUCUAAGGGUAUGACCUAAUUAGUUUUUAACUGGGUGAGAAGAUGAAGAAAAAAGAGAGCAAAUGAGCAUGAGAAUCCAGUAACAACCAAGCAGAACUAAAGACUCAAGACUUUCUAUAAGCAGCCAUGGACUAUCCCUUUGCCUUGGCCUGUUAUGGUUAUUUCUGAAGCAGUGAGAUCUCAAUACACUAAUAAGAAAACAGAGGCACACACCAGUUAUGUUUUAUGUCAACUAGGUUAUGACUUCAAACUGUUAUUCUCUGGAGUCAUAAAUAGAGCCUUUGGGUGAAACGACCUUAUAAAAAGUCUUUUGGAUACAAUGUUAACUAUUUUUUUGCAUAGAAUCCAGGAUCACUUCCCAAAUCCCUCUCCUUCACAAAGCAUACUCUUUCUGAAUAUAUAUAGCAAUUUAUAUAUAAUUCCAAAUAUAUAUGGCAGUUUAAGAACAUACAAUAAGGUCAAAGAAUUCAGAAAAAAAUAGAGGAAACUUAAGCAUUUAGAUCAGGAUUAUCACAUGUGUGAAUUGAUAUUACUUUAUACUAUUUUUCUCCAAAAUCAGUGGAAACUCCCCAAUUCCAGCAUUUGUUAAGAGUCCAGUAUUUAAUCAUUCCUUAAGUGCUCCCUUCCACUGCCCUCCCUGACACCUAAGCACACCCUUGGGUUCCCAUGUCCUCAAAGUGCCAUCUGCCUGACUACCACACCUGAGAGAGAACAGUACUCAUAUCAGAACAAUUUAACCUUGCUAUUGUUUCUCACUGACAAAUGGAGUUUUGCUGCAUAUUUGUCAUCCUCUGGCAACAGAUGGUGCUGGUCUACUUCACAGCAAUUCUGCUCCAUCCUGGUGCCCUCAUAAUCCUCCUAUAGGGAACAAGCUCAGCUGUGUGUGCUCCCAGCUCAAGUUCUCUCUUCAGUGAAUACAACCAUGCUCAGCAAUUGCUCCCAGGACAUAGACACUAUACCCAUCAGAAUAGCUGCAUUUGGAGGAACUUUUAUAAUAGCAUCAGUUUUGUGCUAGUCCAAACCAGCUCUCUUCCACAAAUUCUGGGGACUGGGCUUUAGUCUUGGUUACCAGUUUGGACACCCAUUUCCUCAAGAUAAUUUUUGAAAUAGACUUUAUUUUUUAGAGCAGUUUUAAGUUCAUAGCAAAAUCAAGCAGAAAGUAGAGAGUUCCCAUCUAGUGGUAUACAGAAUAGUUUACUGCUCCCAGAAUCUUUCUAUGUGCUGCCUAUUCUUUCUCCCUCCCCACUAUCUGCUGAUCUUUUUAUCUCUUUAUAGUUCUGCCUUUCCUAGAAUGUUGUGAAAUUGCAAUUAUACAGUAUUUAGCUUUUUUCGACUGGCUGCCUUCACUUAACAUAUGCAUUUAAGUUUCUUCCCUGUCUUUGUUUCUUGAAACAGGAUCUUGCUCUGUCACCCAGGCUGGAGUGUAGUGGCAUGCUCUUGGCUCACUGCAACCUCCACCUCCUGGGUUCAAGCAAUUCUCCUUCCUCAGCCUCCUGAGUAGCUGGGACUACAGGCGUGCACCACAACGCCUGGCUAAUUUUUGUAUUUUUAGUAGAGAUGGGGUUUCACCAUGUUGGCCAGGCUGGUCUUGAACUCCUGGCCUCAAGUGAUUCACCCAUCUCAUCUUCCCAAAGUGCUGUGAUUACAGGCAUGAGCCACUGCACCCAGCUUGAUAACUCUUUUUUUUGGUGUUUGUGGACCUAAAUUUUAAACUUAUUUGGGUAAAUUCCAAGGAGUGCAAUUGCUGGAAUGUAUGGUAAGAGUAUGUUUAGUUUUCUAAGAAACUUCCAAACUGUCUUCCAAAGCGGCUGUACCAUUUUGUAUUCCUACCAGCAAGGAAUGAAAGUUCCUGCUGCUUCACAUCCUUACCAGCAUUUAGAGUUAUCUGUAUUCUGAGUUUUGGUCAUUCUAAUAAGUGUAUAUAAUGGUAUCUCACUAUUGUUUUUGGCAAUUGACUAACAAAAUUUGAUGUUAAGCAUCUUUAAUAUGUUUAUUGGCCUUCUACAUAUCUUUUACGGUGAGGUAUCUAUUUGGAUCUUUUGCCUACUUUUUUAACUAAGUUGUCUAUUAGUCCAUUCUCACGUGCUAAUAAAAACAUACCCGACACUGGGUAAUUUGUAAAGGAAAAAAGUUUAAUUGACUCACAGUUCAGCAUGGCUGGGGAGACCUCACAAUCAUGGCAGAAGGCGAAGGAGGAGCAAAGGCACAUAUUACAUGGCGGCAGGCAAAAGGCACGUCUUACGUGGCAGCAGGCAGGAGAGUGUGUGCACAGAAACUCCCCUUUAUAAAACCAUUAGCUCUUGUGAGAUUUAUUCACUAUCUUGAGAGCAGCACAGGAAAGACUUACUCCCAUGAUUCAAUUACCUCCCACUGGGUCCCUCCCACAACAUGUGGGAAUUAUGGGAGCUACAAUUCAAGAUAAGAUUUGGGUGGGGACACAGCCAAACCAUAUCAGGUUGUUUGUUUUCUUAUUGUUGAGUUCCAAGAGUUCCUUGUAUACAUAUUUUGGAUAGCAGUCCUUUAUCAGAUAGGUCUUUGCAAUUACUUUUCUCCCAGUCUGUUGCUUGUCUUCUCUCUACAGUGUCUUUUCCAGAGCACCUCAGGAUAAUUUUAUUUCUGGAAACUCACAUUUCUUUUAUGCCACUGGGCCUUAGUUUGGACCAAAAUUACUCUGUUUUAAAAUUCCUUCCCCAGAGACUGCAUUCUUCUUAAGCAGAUUGAACCACAUCCUCCCUAAUAACCAAUUUUGAAUAGUAGGGACUCAGGUCAACUCUACUUAGUCACAGAAGGCUCUGUUAUACCCAAAUCUGAUGACAUGCUGUCUAGACACCCACAUUUGCCUGAAAGGGUCACACAGAUGACCCAUGACAGGAAAAACAUCAGACUAAAAAAACUUCUUGGGGCCAGGCACAGUAGCUUAUGCUUCUAAUCCCAGUACAUUGGGAGGCUGAGGCGGGCAGAUUGCUUGAGGCCAGGAGUUCCAGACCAGCUUGGCCAACAUGAUAAAACCCUGUCUCUACUAAAAAUACAAAAAUUAGCUGAGCAUGCUGGCGUGCACCUGUAGUCUCAGCUACUGGGGAGGCUGAGAUAGAAGAAUUGCUUGAGGCGGAGGUUGCAGUGAGCUGAGAUUCUACCACUGCACUCCAGUCUGGGCAACAGAGUGAGACUUCAUCUUAGAAAAACAAAACAAAACAAAACAAAAACCUUCUUGAUUAAAAUAUAUAGUUCUAAAACUAUUCUGUAGGACACUGUAAUGAUGGAUAUAUAUAAUUAUGCAUUUGGCGAAACUUACAGAAUGCAUAACACAAGGAGUGAAUCCUAAAGUCAACUAUGGACUUUAAUAAUAAUAAUGUAUCAAUAUUGGCUCAUUAAUUAUAACAAAUGCAUCAUACUAAUUCAAGAUGCUAGUAAUAGGGAAAAUUAUGGAUGUGUAUGUGUGUGUAGUGGGUAUAUGGGAACGCUCUUUACUCUGUGACCAAUUUUUCUGUUAAUCUAUAACUGUUCUAAAAAAAUUCUAUUAAUUAAAAUAAAUACACUGCCUCAAAUAUAUGUUUUAUUUAUAUAUCAAUUUGGUUCAUUUGUUUGAAGAACAUUUUGCAAUGGUGAAAACAACCAUUAAGGUACUAUCUUACAUUUAAUAAAUGCUGAUCAAUUCAUUAAGGUGAAAGUUUAAUUAUUUGAGCAAUUAAAUGUGGUAUCUUUUUUUUUUUUUUUGAGACACUUGCUUUGAGUCUUGCUUUCUUUUUUGAGACACUUGCUUUGUCUCCCAGGCUGGGGUGCAGUGGCUUAAUCCCGGCAUACUGCAACCUCCGCCUCCUGGGUUCAAGUGAUUCUCCUGCCUCAGCCUCCUGAGUAGCUGGGAUUACAGGCAUGCGCCACCACACCUGGCUAAUUUUUGUAUUUUUAGUAGAGACAGGGUUUCACCAUGUUGGCCAGGCUGGUCUCGAACUCCUGAUCUCAUGAUCCACCCACCUCAACCUCCCAAAGUGCUGAGAUUACAGACUUGAGCCACCGCGCCCAGCCUAAAUGUGGUAUCUUAAACAUACACCUUUGAUAUUCUGCCUCCCCACCAUCCCCCUCCCCUACCAGUUCUUUAUUAAAGCAACUCAACAAACAUAGAAGGAGAAAUUCUAUCUGCCCUCCCCCACUAGUUCUUUA
Molecule: long non-coding RNA, 7285 nt
Filed under: Homo sapiens (human)
Lineage: Eukaryota; Metazoa; Chordata; Mammalia; Primates; Hominidae
Description: non-protein coding ITGB1-DT:31
Source: RNAcentral